This 1360-nucleotide ribosomal RNA is filed under the name uncultured Chroococcales cyanobacterium. RNAcentral describes it as "bacterial SSU rRNA". It matches the Rfam family "Bacterial small subunit ribosomal RNA". The record is from RNAcentral. Lineage: Bacteria; Bacillati; Cyanobacteriota; Cyanophyceae; Chroococcales.
CAAGCUUAGAGUUUGAUCCUGGCUCAGGAUGAACGCUGGCGGCGUGCUUAACACAUGCAAGUCGAACGAACCUUCGGGUUAGUGGCGGACGGGUGAGUAACGCGUGAGAAUCUGCCCUCAGGAGGGGGAUAACGGUUGGGAACGACCGCUAAUACCCCAUAUGCCGAGAGGUGAAAUGAAUUUCGCCUGAGGAUGAGCUCGCGUCUGAUUAGCUAGUUGGUGUGGUAAUGGCGCACCAAGGCUUCGAUCAGUAGCUGGUCUGAGAGGAUGAUCAGCCACACUGGGACUGAGACACGGCCCAGACUCCUACGGGAGGCAGCAGUGGGGAAUUUUCCGCAAUGGGCGAAAGCCUGACGGAGCAACGCCGCGUGAGGGAUGAAGGCCUCUGGGCUGUAAACCUCUUUUCUCAAGGAAGAAGAUCUGACGGUACUUGAGGAAUAAGCCACGGCUAAUUCCGUGCCAGCAGCCGCGGUAAUACGGGAGUGGCAAGCGUUAUCCGGAAUUAUUGGGCGUAAAGCGUCCGCAGGCGGCCUCGAAAGUCUGUCGUUAAAGCGUGGAGCUUAACUCCAUUUAAGCGGUGGAAACUACGAGGCUAGAGUGUGGUAGGGGCAGAGGGAAUUCCCGGUGUAGCGGUGAAAUGCGUAGAUAUCGGGAAGAACACCAGUGGCGAAGGCGCUCUGCUGGGCCAUAACUGACGCUCAUGGACGAAAGCCAGGGGAGCGAAAGGGAUUAGAUACCCCUGUAGUCCUGGCCGUAAACGAUGAACACUAGGUGUCGGGGGAAUCGACCCCCUCGGUGUCGUAGCUAACGCGUUAAGUGUUCCGCCUGGGGAGUACGCACGCAAGUGUGAAACUCAAAGGAAUUGACGGGGGCCCGCACAAGCGGUGGAGUAUGUGGUUUAAUUCGGUGCAACGCGAAGAACCUUACCAGGGCUUGACAUCCUGCGAAUCCCUUGGAAACUUGGGAGUGCCUUCGGGAGCGCAGAGACAGGUGGUGCAUGGCUGUCGUCAGCUCGUGUCGUGAGAUGUUGGGUUAAGUCCCGCAACGAGCGCAACCCACGUCUUUAGUUGCCAGCAUUAAGUUGGGCACUCUAGAGAGACCGCCGGUGAUAAACCGGAGGAAGGUGUGGAUGACGUCAAGUCAUCAUGCCCCUUACGUCCUGGGCUACACACGUACUACAAUGCUACGGACAAAGGGCAGCAAACUCGCGAGAGCUAGCAAAUCCCAUAAACCGUGGCUCAGUUCAGAUCGUAGGCUGCAACUCGCCUACGUGAAGGAGGAAUCGCUAGUAAUCGCAGGUCAGCAUACUGCGGUGAAUACGUUCCCGGGCCUUGUACACACCGCCCGUCACACCAUGGAA